This 472-nucleotide long non-coding RNA is filed under the name Homo sapiens (human). Its description in RNAcentral is "non-protein coding lnc-RAD23B-8:2". The record is from RNAcentral. Lineage: Eukaryota; Metazoa; Chordata; Mammalia; Primates; Hominidae.
CUUCACAUCAAACCUAGGAGAAAGGUACUAUUAUCAUCUCUAAGUUACAAAAAUGGGAACUGAGCCACCAAAUGGCUAAGUGGUUUGCCUAAGAACACAGCGCUGGGCAGACAGAGGAACCAGGGGACUUAGGCCUUGCCAAGGAGGUGACAGUUGGACUGGCCUGGAGGGACUGGCCUGGAAAGAACAGCUACAGUAUGGCCACAGGGUUCCGGGAUGGCCAAGGAGGCCCAUCUCACCAGACCUGGCCCUGAGAAACUUCACCAGCAAGGCUUUCAAAUCGGAAAUAUUAAAUCCCCCCAGGUCACACAGCUGUGUUGUCUGGGUGGUGGCUGAACCAGGAUUCCAUCUCAGGUGUGUCUGAUGGCCAUCACGAUACCACUGUAAAGCUGAGCUCAUUGACUAACGCUUAGGAAGUGGAGGGCCUUACAUUCUAGAUUCCAACCUUCGCCUACAACAAAGGAAACUGCCG